This 253-nucleotide ribosomal RNA is filed under the name uncultured bacterium. RNAcentral describes it as "partial 16S ribosomal RNA". It matches the Rfam family "Bacterial small subunit ribosomal RNA", at positions 524 to 776 of the family's 1533-position model. The record is from RNAcentral.
UACGUAGGGUGCAAGCGUUAAUCGGAAUUACUGGGCGUAAAGCGUGCGCAGGCGGUUAUGCAAGACAGAUGUGAAAUCCCCGGGCUCAACCUGGGAACUGCGUUUGUGACUGCAUGGCUAGAGUACGGUAGAGGGGGAUGGAAUUCCGCGUGUAGCAGUGAAAUGCGUAGAUAUGCGGAGGAACACCGAUGGCGAAGGCAAUCCCCUGGACCUGUACUGACGCUCAUGCACGAAAGCGUGGGGAGCAAACAGG